CCGACGUGUCACUGCGCAAGCGCCAUCGCAACCAUUGUGACGUCGCCGCGGCAAGGGGCGCUUCCGGGUCCUUGGCCGGUCCUGACUAGGAUUGGCCGAGCCGACGGGUUCUCUCCCAUCGCCCGAUUGGCUGGGGGGGCAGGAGGGUCUGGCGGGAGAGUUCGAAAGAACGCCGAAGCAGGUGUGAAUGCUUUCAGGUCUUGUGAUAGGUCAGCUGUUGAUGGCAUCCUCCUGCCCAUUCACAAGAUCACAUGGCAGAACCUCUUUCAAUGAGCAGCUGAGGGCUUUGAGAUGAAGAAUCAUCUUUCUCAGCUGAAGAGUCUCUUUUGUGACAGGGCAAGCUUUUGCUAGACUGAAACCACAGGCGCCCAUCAUUGGCUCUAAGGUAAAAGGAAGGAGAAAUCAUGCCAGAUGACUUUCUUUGGGAAACAAAAUAUUCCAGCAAGAGAAACAUGAGAAUGAAACACAACAAUAAAAUCAGACAUGACAGAGAAGAGAGAGAAAAUAAAACAGGAUACACCUCCCAUUGCAUGAUGAGUGGCAUGUGUUUGGCAUUAAGUGAGAGCCACUGUGAAGCUUGGGUUACGCAUCGCAUUAAGCCAUAAUAUGUUUGAUUUUAGUUUAGGUUUGUUGGAAGAACUAUCCAUCUGGUUCAGUUCCAAGCCGGGAGAAAGACGCUGGAAACAUGGAGGCUGAUUGGAAAGAUGGUUUAGUGGUGAAGCAAAACCACCAAGCACGUGUGAUUCUGGGUAGCUGACCACAUGGAGUUGGGGGGGUUAUACCUUCUCUUGGGCUUUGCACUUGAACUUCCUUUUUCCUGUGCAAGAACAUGUAUUUUAUUGGCUGUUGUGGGUGUCAUACCUCUAUAGGUUGUCUGAGCUCUCAGGUUUGGUUGAAGUUUGGACUCUAAUGGAAUAUCAUUAGGAGAUUGUGCAAUGUAGUGAGCUUUGCUGUUAGUGGGUUAAUCCUAUUAUGUCCUGGAGGGUCAUGUCAUAAUCCCAUCACCCUGGAUCUGACAGCCUUUUGUCUUUAGAUAGACUGGCCCAAUCCUGCUGGGGCUAUUAAGAAAGAUUUGGGAGCUGUUUUUUGUCUUUAAAAACAUAUUUCUCCUUUAGGGAAAUAUAAUAGUCUGCCUUUUUAAUAUUUCUCAAAAUAUUUAAUUCUUCUGGAAGAGGGUGGCUUCCCAUAGGUUAGAAGUGCCCAUCCACUGAGAUCUGUAAACUCUGCUUAGACAUAUUUAUAGCUUAAUAUGGUAAACUGUGAUUAAGAAAAUCAAGGAACUAACAUAAUUUCUGAACCCACAUAAUUAACUCAAAAUGCUUGUGCGGCUGUCACUGCUUCUCUGUACUGAAUAUUGGACUAUCAGAACAACUAUAGAUGGCAGCAGAGAGUGAGUUUUCUGUAUCCCUUUGCUGCCAUCCAUUUUUUUUCUUUGUAACUCAAUUCUCUUGCUAUCUUAGAUUGAAAUUCAUAUUGAGUAUAGGUUUUAAACUGCUGCUGGAAGAUCAACAUAAUGAACUUUUCUUUAUGCCUCCAAAUGCUGGCUUCCCUUCCGUUCCCAGACUGGAGACAUACAGCUAUGCCGAUUGGGGAAGAUGAGAUUUGUACUUUAUGUUGGCACCGUGCUAAGAAAAUGUCAUUUAAGGUGACAUAAUUUGUAGAAAUUAAUGCAUAAAAUCCUAUUAGCUGCAAAUAAAGUCCCAGAAUAACCUUUAGAUCUACUCAUUUCUAUAGGAUAUUUGUCUUCAGGAUGCAUAUUCUUAAAAACUGCAUGCAACUUUGCUUUUAAAUAUUCUUAAGUACUGCAUAGCUGAGAUAUUUUUUCUUAACCUUUGUAAUGGGACAUUCGUAGUGAAAUACACAGAUUGAUAUAGAUUGCAAAUUACUUGACAGCUGAUUCCAAUAACAGCUCAAGGUAAUAAUUUUUCUAGUCCAUGCCCUGCAUUACGUUUUUGAACUACGUGAAUUUGAAGCAAUUUACCCCCAACUGUUAGGACAGUUAGAUCCAGAGGACCUUCCCUUGCUUUGGCGUGUUUUUCUUUGAAAGAAGAUCAUCAAAAAUAUAAAGCAUUUGCAAUCUUCCAAGGUUUAUGAUUCUACAGAUUUGUCAUAGCUUGUUGUGGUCCACCAGCAGCCUGCGGAGCUGGCAAUGGAGUCAGACAGCGAUGAGGCUGAGGAAGAACAUGGGCCAGUCCUGGAGACUGGGGAAGGCCUGGAUGAGGGCUCUGUUUCAGAGGCAGAUGUGGGGCCAGGGCCAACUGGAAGUGAUGUGCGGACUCCGGAGCCUCCAGAGGCUGACAGUAGUGAGGCAGAGGAACAGGAGGAGCCUGUUCCUAAUGCACACAUUAGAAGAGCUGCCAGAAGGCAAGAGCAGCUAAAGCAAAGAGGAUGACUCAGGAGUAGGGCCAAGAGAUGAUUGGCCCCUCCCAUAAGGCUUAAAAGACCAGCAACGGCGUUUGGGCUCUUUCCUGGAAAACAACAUUGAUAGUUUUGUCUUGUUGCAUUUGUUUCGUACUGGCAUCUUCUGAACUUUUGCCAAGAAAGGCCUUUGGCAUUGUGAAAAAUAACUUGCCCUCCUCAUCUUGCUCCUUUCCACAUGCUGAACUCAGAUCUGGAGUGUGCGGUAGAAGAGAAAAGCACUUGCUGUUUCAGAUAUUCCCUACAGAAUUGAAAGAGCUCAGAUAGAUCAAAUAAUGAAAGAAAUAGUUUCAUCAAGUAUCUACAGGUAGUCCUCAACUUAUGACUGGUUGCUUAGCAACUGCUCAAAGUUGCAACGGAAAACUACUUACGACCUGGUUUCAAAGUUACAUUCACUGCAGCAUUCCUGUGGUCAUUUGCCCUUAGGACUGACUGCAGGAAUGCUACAGCACCACCAACCCAACUUAUCUUCCCCCACAACCCAUCCCACCAGCUCCCCACAAGUCUUGGGCCUGCUUCCCACCCCACCAGAUCCUGCAGGUACCCCUACCCAGCCCCCCCCAACCCCCAGUGUGCACUUACCUUUUAAAGAUCUCUGGAGAGCUUCGGACAUUGCAUUAGGGAAGAAAGACUGCCCCUCCGUCCCUUGGCAUCCCUAGGCCACGUGGUUGCAUCCCAGAAAAUGGUACCAUUUACAAAGGACCAGCUAUAACUUACAAUUUUGCCGCUACAACGGACUCUUUAUGAGUUUUUCUGGAUCCACUAAUUCUUUCAUAUCCAUAGUCUUUAACUUUAACAAAACUGCUCACUGUAAUAUGGUAUGUGGAAGCAGUAUGAGUUUCUGGCAAGGAAAUGGAUGAUUCUUGGAACAGGAAAACUAUACAUUUUAUAAAACAGUAUGUGUUUUGUGACUUAACUGUGUUUUAUUCAGGUGUUUUAUUCUGCAGAUGAAGAGAAAGAAGCAUUCAAGGAAAUGAGAAGAGUAAUUCUGGGCAGAUUGAAAAUCAUCAAUUUUCUCAAGAAGAGUCGAGUUCAGGUGCGAGGAAUUCAGUUAGCAGAGGACUCGGAGCCGUACAAUAGAAUAGGCGUGAAUCUCUUCGUGCUUUGUUUGUGACCAUCACCUCCCCAAACUUUAUUUAUAGGGAGCAUAUUUCAGUCAGUCUGACAUCUACAGAGCAAAAUGCCCCAAAUAUUGUAUGGUGAUAUCCUUGCAGCUCAGCCUUCCUAUGUGUCCAGUGCAAGGGGAGAUUGAUUCUGAAGAACUCCUGAAGGGAUGGUUCUGCUCCUGUAGAUGAAAAAGCAAAAGAGGCUCUUUUGGGACUUCAUCAGCAACUACUACACAAAUUCAAGAGUAGUUCACCUAUCUAAAAAGCCAAUGCAAAGUGUUUGGUGAGAGUAUAUGUGGA
Long non-coding RNA from Ahaetulla prasina, 3824 nucleotides. RefSeq lists it as uncharacterized. The record is from RefSeq and is a predicted model, not a curated record. The transcript has 3 exons. NCBI's taxonomy places the organism in Eukaryota, Metazoa, Chordata, Lepidosauria, Squamata, Colubridae.